Long non-coding RNA from Amblyraja radiata (thorny skate), 600 nucleotides. RefSeq lists it as uncharacterized. The record is from RefSeq and is a predicted model, not a curated record. NCBI's taxonomy places the organism in Eukaryota, Metazoa, Chordata, Chondrichthyes, Rajiformes, Rajidae. The transcript is spliced from 3 exons.
UUGCAACUCCUCCCAUUGCUCAAGAACUCAAAGAAGAAAGACAGUUGUGUUUGGUGCUGAGUCACUGAAUUGACAGGGCAACAGAGAAUGGCUCGGGCGUACGUGGAGACCAAAAUUCAGGCGGACAAAGUGGUUAUUUUCAUAAAAGCGUCUUGUCCUUACUGUGUACUGGUUCAGGAGGUGCUGAACAAAUAUGAUUUAAAACAAGGCAAGCUGGAGAUCCACAACAUUACCGGCCAUGCCGACAUGAAAGCGAUCCAAGACUACUUUCACAAUAAAACAGGAGCCAAGACGGUACCUCGUGUGUUCAUUGGGACUGAAUGUGUGGGAGGUGGUUCAGACGUUAAACAGCUGCAUGACAAUGCUGUGCUGAAAGACAAGCUGAUUGCCAUUGGUGCCAUAUAGUCCCAGUCUCAAUAGGUAUCCAAGGACAGUUCAAGAAACCAUUACAUGAGAAUACAACGAGAUCUCCCAGAGUGAAUGUGAUGCCUGUAUUCAGUCAAUUCCUGCAAGUAAGAACUUGAUGGCCAUCUAUGACUUUCCACAAAAGCUUCUUCUUCAUCUGCAUGUGAAUACAAUAAAGAAGAAUGGAAUUAACAA